This 2802-nucleotide long non-coding RNA is filed under the name Musa acuminata (dwarf banana). RNAcentral's name for it is "long non-coding RNA (MACU_LNC010457)". The record is from RNAcentral. Lineage: Eukaryota; Viridiplantae; Streptophyta; Magnoliopsida; Zingiberales; Musaceae.
UCCUUCUCCUCUUCCCUUUUCCUCCCCAACGCCACACCCCUCCUCGCUGCAGCCUUGCCACAGCUAUCCUCCUCUCUUCUUCUUCUUCUUCUUCUUCUUCUUCCUCUUCACUUCUCCUCCCCAACGCCCCACACAUCCUCUCCUCUGUUUCCACCUGCUGGAAACAGAGGUGCAGCAGCCCUAGCUGCAGCUGCUGCCUCUCUCUCUCUCCUCUCCAUCUUCCCUCUCUUCUUCUUCUUCUUCUUCUUUUCUUCUCUUCUCCCUCUUCUUCCUCCUCUUCUUUUCCCUCUUCUUCUCUUCUCCCUCUACUUCUCUUCUUCUUCUUCCCCACGCCCCACCGCUCUCUCUGGUUCGAGCGUGGGAGGCGGUGGGAUAAAACCGAAAUUUUCGGUUUUCUUUAUUUUUUUUUCUUUUUGCAACUUAACAGUUUAGUCCUUAAAAUUUCUAUAUUUACAUAUAGGUCCUCCAAUUUACAUAUAAAUCCUUAUUAAUAAUUUUCAAAAGUGAGGGAUAUUAUAACAACCGACUGACUUUACGGUACACGCACUAGCCGACUACUCAAACCCGCAAACGAUGAAAGUUGGAGGCCUUCUCAAACAACAACCGAUCACUAUUCUCAUCGACACGAGCAGCACUAAUAACUUCCUAAAUAGUAAGAUUGCUGCUCGAAUGUCACUCCACAUCGAUGGUUGUGGCAAGUUUGACAUAAAGGUCACCGACAGAAGAAUCCUAAAGUGCGACCAAAGAUGUUCGCAGGUGAAACUAUUACUACAAGACCAAGAAAUUAUCACCAACUUCUUCCUCCUACCAAUUGAUGACUAUGAGGCCAUGCUUAGCAUAGAAUGACUGAUGAUGCUAGGUGAUGUCUCUUGGAACUUCUCCAAAUUAAUUAUGAAAUUCUACUACAAAGGCAAAUAAAUCAUCCUACGCGAGAAGCGCGGAAGCAACGUAACCACUGUUUCGACCCAACCAAUGGAGAAAGUUUUACACAAAGUAAAUGGUGGCUUUUUGAUGCAUCUCCAAUAGCAACCAGAGGGGAAGAAAAUAGAAAUUGAAGAUCAAAAUCUCUCCCAAUUGCUUGUUGAAUUUGCUGACAUUUUUGUUGAGCCACGUGGUCUUCCUCCUACUCGGCAACAUGACCAUUAGAUUCCAAUCCUUCUGGGCAAGCUACUAGUGAACACUCAGCCAUACUAAUAUCCUCACCUCCAAAAGGAUGAAAUUGAAAAGAUCAUAAAGGAGAUACUUGAAACAGGAGUGAUUCGGUCAAGUUACAGCCCCUAUUCCUCACCGGUGCUACUUGUACGCAAGAAGGAUAGAACUUGGCAGAUGUGCAUCGACUACCGAGCUUUAAACGACAUCACCAUCAAGGACAAGUACCCAAUACCAGUGGUUGAUGAACUUCUUGAUGAGUUAAAAGGAGCUCAAGUCUUCACAAAGUUGGACCUCCGAUCCAGUUACCACCAAAUUCGGGUAUGUGAAGACAACAUUCCAAAAACUGCAUUCCACACACAUAACGGCCAUUAUAAAUUCUUCGUAAUGGCUUUUGGACUCACUAAUGCUCCUUCAACCUUCCAAAGUCUCAUGAACGAUAUUUUUCGGAGCUUUCUUCAUAAAUUUGUGCUGGUAUUUUUUUAUGAUAAUCUCAUUUAUAGCCCUUCUCUUGAGACUUACGUUCAACAUUUUUAGAUUGUUUUGACGAUCCUUCGAAAGAAUACUCUUUUUGUUAAGCAGCUAAAGUGUAGUUUUUUUUAGCAAAAAGUAGGGUACCUUGGGUACAUAAUAUCAGAAGAAGUGGCGGUAGACCCAACAAAAAUUGAAGCAAUGUAAGGCUGGCCAAAACCUGCAAACGUGAAAUUACUGUGCAGGUUCCCUGGACUAAUGUGUUACUACUGAAAAUUUGUUAAGGACUAUAGGAAGAUUAGCACACCCCUCACUUCUCUACUGAAAAAGAUGUCUUCCAAUGGUCAGACAAAGCCUCAGCUACCUUUGAUAAAUUUAAGGCAGCUAUGAUUACAACGCUCGUACUAAUGCUACCCGACUUCUGCAAGACUUUUGUUAUUGAAGCCGAUGCCUCCGGAGUUGGAAUUGCUGAUGUGCUAAUACAAGAUGGCCACCCCCUCACUUAUAUCAAUAAGACUAUUUACGAUAAUGAGAUGCUCGCGAUUGUGCAUGCGGUGGCUAAGUGGAGACCAUACAUAAUCAGGCGACGCUUUCAAAUCAAGACCGGCCUAAAAUAUUUCUUAGAGCAGAGGAUAUCUUCCCUCGAGCAGCAAAAAUAGGUAACAAAGCUUCUUAGAUAUAAAUAUGAAAUAAUUUACAAAAAGGGGAAAGAGAAUAUUGUUACAAAUGUGCUUUUGCGACUGUCCGAGCAAGCUGAAUUUUUGGUCAUUUCACUUCCGACCAAUGACUUCCUUCAGGAUAUUAAGAGGGAAUGACAGAAAGACUAGAGACCAGUAAAAUCAUAAAAAAAUUAUAGGAAGCACCAAGCUCUAUGGCUCAUUAUAGUUGGGACUUAAAAGGUUGCACUAUAAGAGAUGCAUUGUGCUUGUGUCAAAUUCUACUUAAAUCUUCACAAGCAGAUUUUAGAUAGAGUUAUUCCAGAUGCAGGACACUAAAUUGAAAAGGAGUACGAUAUAUCACCCACAAACCGACGGCCAAAUGGAAGUGGUGAACAGAUGCUUAGAGACUGUCCAAAGUCAUCCACCAAAUAUGACUACCCAAGGGGAACUCUAGACCCAGCCGAGUGCUAUUAUUGAUGGAUAGAUCGGGACUCAAUGAUGACGACCGACUACUAAAGUGCUA